Molecule: non-coding RNA, 577 nt
Organism: Oryctolagus cuniculus (rabbit)
Lineage: Eukaryota; Metazoa; Chordata; Mammalia; Lagomorpha; Leporidae
Source: RefSeq, a predicted model, not a curated record
GCUCCCUGAGAAGACACAAAAUCCUGGCUCAAAUCACAGAAAUGCCUAAGCGCCCCUCAAGAUAAUGUCAAUGCACCAGAUACAUCGCGGGCCCUAGCACGGGGCCAGGCUAUGGUAUUUCACACACGAUUGUGUGGUCAAAGUUCAAUUCCUUGUUCAAUAAGGAUGUGGACAGCAGUGGGUCUGACACUUUGCUUAAGAAGCAAUUUUUAUCUGAGGAUUAUAGAGGAACAUUCCGUUUUAACGCCCUGGAGUAGAAACAUGGUUUUAUUUCCACAUGGACUUCAUCGGAGAUACCAGCCACCACUGCUAGAGAAACUAACAGACCUCAGCAAUGGCAGUGGGGGGCCAGAAUGCAUUGAAGGAUUUUUUCCAAGAGAAAAACCCUCCACACCAUCACCACCUUCAAGAAAAGUACUUCUAAACUGUUUGUGCGCAGUCGACCACACGACCACACUACAUACACGCAGAGCGUAAUCCUUCUAAGAAUUCAGGACCACUGUCACAGCUCUGCGGUGGGUAUGGGACAUCGGCAUGGGGCAUUUAAUGGUUUCUUUCUUUUUUUUUUUUUUUUCUU